RNAcentral lists this ribosomal RNA (585 nucleotides) under uncultured bacterium. RNAcentral's name for it is "partial 16S ribosomal RNA". It matches the Rfam family "Bacterial small subunit ribosomal RNA", at positions 355 to 1375 of the family's 1533-position model. The record is from RNAcentral.
UGGGGAAUUUUGGACAAUGGGCGAAAGCCUGAUCCAGCAAUGCCGCGUGUGUGAAGAAGGCCUUCGGGUUGUAAAGCACUUUUGUCCGGAAAGAAAUCCUUGGCUCUAAUACAGUCGGGGGAUGACGGUACCGGAAGAAUAAGCACCGGCUAACUACGCGCCAGCAGCCGCGGUAAUACGUAGGGUGCAAGCGUUAAUCGGAAUUACUGGGCGUAAAGCGUGCGCAGGCGGUUUGCUAAGACCGAUGUGAAAUCCCCGGGCUCAACCUGGGAACUGCAUUGGUGACUGGCAGGCUAGAGUAUGGCAGAGGGGGGUAGAAUUCCACGUGUAGCAGUGAAAUGCGUAGAGAUGUGGAGGAAUACCGAUGGCGAAGGCAGCCCCCUGGGCCAAUACUGACGCUCAUGCACGAAAGCGUGGGGAGCAAACAGGAUUAGAUACCCUGGUAGUCCACGCCCUAAACGAUGUCAACUAGUUGUUGGGGAUUCAUUUCCUUAGUAACGUAGCUAACGCGUGAAGUUGACCGCCUGGGGAGUACGGUCGCAAGAUUAAAACUCAAAUGAAUUGACGGGGUCAUAGCUGUUUCCU